This is a microRNA precursor of Ficedula albicollis (Collared flycatcher), 97 nucleotides long. It matches the Rfam family "mir-210 microRNA precursor family". Lineage: Eukaryota; Metazoa; Chordata; Aves; Passeriformes; Muscicapidae. The record is from Rfam.
UCCAGGAGCAGGUGAGCCACUGACUAACGCACAUUGUGCUCUCGGCGACUCCACUGUGCGUGUGACAGCGGCUAACCUGCUCCUCGGACAUCACUGU